RNAcentral lists this unclassified non-coding RNA (180 nucleotides) under Glomus sp. RNAcentral describes it as "partial contains 5.8S ribosomal RNA and internal transcribed spacer 2". The stretch from base 1 to 71 matches the Rfam family "5.8S ribosomal RNA", at positions 84 to 154 of the family's 154-position model. The record is from RNAcentral. Lineage: Eukaryota; Fungi; Glomeromycota; Glomeromycetes; Glomerales; Glomeraceae.
GUGAAUCAUCAAAUUUUUGAACGCAAAUUGCACUCUCUGGUAUUCCGGAGGGUAUGCCUGUUUGAGGGUCAGUUUUAAUAAAAAUCGGUGUGGUUGCUGCCUUUCGUGGUGACGCACUGGAUUUGGGUCGUCUUGCCUUCGGUUAAGGGACCUCGGAUUUUGCAUGAUUUUUUAUAAGGU